This is a non-coding RNA of Cinara cedri, 2010 nucleotides long. The record is from the annotation of a GenBank genome assembly. NCBI's taxonomy places the organism in Eukaryota, Metazoa, Arthropoda, Insecta, Hemiptera, Aphididae.
CGAGAAACACACUCUUACUUCUCCACACGCUUGAAUCUCGAUUGUAUGUAUAUAUAUAUAUAUACAUACCUAGGUAUGCGUAAAUAUUGCAAUGUUAUUUGUGAACGGUCAAAACAAAUGCGCGAUACAUAAUAAAUAGCCAAAAUCAUUUACGGUUAUUCAACGGCCAAUUGAAAUUUUAAAUACAUAAUAGAUUAUCCAAUAAACAGUUAUAUUUUGACUGCAUCAUCGCCUGUACGGCGAAAAAUUCGUCUUUUAUCCGCUAGUACCCCGCGGAGGCAUUUCGCUCUCGGCCGAAGAGUAUCUAAAAUGUAAUAACUCGCACAAUUUUCCCGCUGAAUCGUUCAGUUUCAAUUAAUUCGUGGGAUUUCGUACCGUCCGACCGAGGGCCGUUCGCGAAUUAAUGUUUUCAUUCGGUUUUCUAUUAAAUACUAGAUAUUAUUAUUAUUAUACCGUUAUUUUAAUUUGAAAUAUUCGCAUACGAUGACGUCGUUGAUAUUUCAUUAUUACGCCUUUGGUUCCAGGGGAAAAGGGCUCCAGUCAAUUUUCGGCAUUUUUAAAUUUUUUAUCGUUGCGUUUUGCGCGAUUUAUUAUUCGGUCUAAAUCGCUUAUGUGUACUCUAACGCGUGUUAUACUGAAAAUACUUUAUCUAAAAUCGUUUUAUAAUGUAUCGACUAUUAGAGCCAUAACUUUUGUUUCGCAAAAACAGACGUCGUACCCAUAUAGUCAUACGUAUGACUUCCGCCAUUUAAAACGCCAGCUGCAUUUAGGUUAACCCGUUUAAUAAUUAUUCCGUUGUGUCGUUCAGCAAUUUUCGAAAUCCAAUUUGCUUGCAUUGAAAACUGUGCACAAUUUAUACGAGCCCUUUUUUCCCCCGGGACCAAAGAUAUAUUGUUUUGUCAAACCAUAUAGUUCGCGUUGUAAAAAUACAGAGUUUUCAUAUUACAUUAUAUUAUGAUAUUAUAUUAGAUAUUGUUGAUUUUUUACUCGCAUAUACGAGAUAAUAAUAGAAUUAUAAGAACGUUUAAACAACGUUGUACAGUUAAAUAGUUUUAAUAUGAUCAGAGACAAAGUAUUGUUAUAUUAUAUAACGGACGAAAAAAGAAUUUAUUAAUUUAUUCGUUGAAUACAGCAUUCGUUAUAAAUACACAACACAAACAAUAUGGUAAAAAAAAAAAAAAAAAAAAAAUGAAAAAAAUAAAACAUUAGAUAGGUAAAUUUUAAAACAUUAUUACGAUUUCGUUGGAAUUAAAUUUUUAUUAAAACUAGGUAUUUUAUAUUGUUAUACAUAUGUGUGUGAAACAUAUGAUCUUCUAAUCAAUUUUAAAACUUUUUUCUUAAUUUUUGCAACGUAAUUAUAACAUACGUAAUAUUUUGUUAAACCGAAUUCUAAUCGGUUUAUACACUAGUGCUGAAAUAAUUAAUCAGGAACAAUCCCAACACCAGAUUACUAAUUCGAUGUGGUAUAAACCGGAUUGAUUUUAUUAUUCUGACCGUCUAAAACAUAUUUAGUUUUCGUAAGAAUUAUUUGAUAAAUGUUAUACAUUUUAUUUUAUUUUUUCCUCGUCUGAUUCAUCCGGAACGCCAAAUGAAAUCAUCAUAGUACGUAAUCCGGAUUAAAUGGCUAUUUCAAUCGAUGUUUUUGAAUCCGGAUUGCAGAUAUUGAUCAACUUCUGUUUAGUACUAUAGUAUAGUUUAUAUACAUUAUUAUAGACUGUUGUUACUUCUGUUAACAUUUAUAAAAAUCAGCGCCGUACUUAGAUACUUAGAAAGCGGUUACAAUAUUUAAAUAUAAGUCGUGAUUUCAUAGUAUAAAUUAUUUAAUAAGCAAUUAUUAAAACACGAUAACACAUCAGUCUCGGUAGUUAUUCUCUUCAGAACAGCGAAAAAGAAUCAAUCGAGAGAGCACACACGGAUGGAAAAUAAAAUAAUAUUACUCUUUUCGUUUUAAUCCGUGUCUCAUAGUUUAAUCGUAGGAUUUUGAUGUUAGUCUCGUAUAAUGAGUUAAAU